RNAcentral lists this long non-coding RNA (970 nucleotides) under Homo sapiens (human). RNAcentral describes it as "non-protein coding lnc-FNDC1-10:1". Lineage: Eukaryota; Metazoa; Chordata; Mammalia; Primates; Hominidae. The record is from RNAcentral.
CCCGGGCGGGGAAGAGCUUCCUGGUGUCUCCCGGCUCCUGCCCUUCUCCCGCCCCAGGGGCGGGCUGCCGCCGCCCUCUGCAGCUGAGUCAGUGCAGUUCCUCACCUACCUUCUCUGCUCACCGCUGUGUGCUAGCAAUCGGAGGACCCUUGGCACACGGAGCGACAGGGGCCUCCCCCACAGACACCUCAUUUUGGGAAAGAAGUGAGCAAUUUAUUGAGUCUUAAAAAAUACAAAGGCAUAGUUCCCCUUAAUCUAUCAGGCUUCCAGCUCUAAAGAAUGUCUCUAGUAUUGCGGGGUGGGGCUGCGCUUAAAAACGCAGACGCUUUGGUUUUAGUACCAGCAACGUUAAAAAUCUUCUAUCUUGUAUGAGUGAAUGUGUAUCCCUUGUGAUCAGUUAUUUGCAUUUGCAGUUACACCUUCAUUCAGCUAAUUGCUGUCUUGAUUUGAAUCCAGGUUCUAGAAUGUACUAGCUCCGAAACCUCAGGCAAGUUAAAUGUUUUUGUGCUUCAUUUUCCUAAUCCACAAAGUGGCAAUAGAAGAAUUUAUCUCUUUAGGUUUUGUCUUGAGGAUUAAAACCGUUAAUACUUAGAGCUGUGCCUGGUAAAUGGCAAGCCUUUAUAUUAAGAUCUGGACCGUUCUGUGCUUUGAAGUGUAUGACCUAAAGCAGAUGUAGGCAUUCUAUAAGUAACACUAGCAUAAAGGUGUAUGGUAAAUUCUAGAGGUGAAAACACUCCCAACAUAUUUUAGGUCUGAUCAUUUAAUUUUGAGGUAAUUUCUGAAAGGGCUAGAGGAGAAAGUGACAUUUAAGUUGUGUUUGAUAAAUGAUAGUAUUUUAACUGGCCAGCCUCUUGGGGGAAGUGCAUUCGGAAUGGCUUGAUCAAAGGCUCAAGAAGCCCAAGGUGCAUUUGGAAAACUGUAAGCAAGGUUUGUGUAGAUGAGUUGUAGAAAUAUAUAUAGACAGGCUGAC